GACGAACGCUGGCGGCGUGCUUAACACAUGCAAGUCGAACGGAAAGGCCCUGCUUUUGUUGGGUGCUCGAGUGGCGAACGGGUGAGUAACACGUGAGUAACCUGCCCUUGACUUUGGGAUAACUUCAGGAAACUGGGGCUAAUACCGGAUAGGAGCUCCUGCUGCAUGGUGGGGGUUGGAAAGUUUCGGCGGUUGGGGAUGGACUCGCGGCUUAUCAGCUUGUUGGUGGGGUAGUGGCUUACCAAGGCUUUGACGGGUAGCCGGCCUGAGAGGGUGACCGGCCACAUUGGGACUGAGAUACGGCACAGACUCCUACGGGAGGCAGCAGUGGGGAAUAUUGCACAAUGGGCGGAAGCCUGAUGCAGCAACGCCGCGUGCGGGAUGACGGCCUUCGGGUUGUAAACCGCUUUCGCCUGUGACGAAGCGUGAGUGACGGUAAUGGGUAAAGAAGCACCGGCUAACUACGUG
This 468-nucleotide ribosomal RNA is filed under the name uncultured bacterium. RNAcentral describes it as "partial 16S ribosomal RNA". It matches the Rfam family "Bacterial small subunit ribosomal RNA", at positions 28 to 507 of the family's 1533-position model. The record is from RNAcentral.